UGGCAGUGAGACUGACUGCGUCGGGGUUGAGACUGGGUGGAUGAGGCUCACCCCGGCGGGGAGAAGGGACGAGGAGGGGCGGACAGCGGAAGGUCCGGGAGUGUCCGCCAUAAAGUCGUUUGAGGUGACCGUUGCGUAAUUGUGAGUCUGUGAGAGAAGAUGUGAAGUAUGGCCUCGUCCCGGUCAUCUGGGCGUGCGGGUCCCGGGUUUUGAUCGCGCGUUUGUGUAGUUUUAACUUCUAGUCAUGGCGAAUGAUCGCAGGAGAGCACAGACUGGACCCUGCUACGAUCUCUCUUGGAGUGGAUCAGACUGAUGAUCACCAACAACCAACUCAUUCCCGGAUAAGGAAGAAGAGAGUGUCACCUACUUCAGUGUGGUUUCAACCCUACUUCUGCAUCUUAAAGACACUGUAUGGUUUCAGCAUGUACAACGUUGGACACUGUGCAGGAUGAUGCCACUUCAUCUUGGAUGCUAAUCUGCCAUGUUGACUUCUGAUUAACCCCAGGCCCAGGAAUGCCUCAAGAUUUCUACUUUACUUACUGUUGCUUGUGUAAGCCAAGACAACCUUGAUGUUAUCAUAAACAUGUACUUACCUAAGUCCUGUCCUUUGGCAAAUUAUGGGCUAUGAGACACAGCAUUCUUGCCUUUCCCUGAGGGGUCAAUUUCAGCGAUCCUACACAUUCCUUCUGAAGCACUUAUGCUCUUUCUAUAUGGUAUGUAAGCUCUCGGUCUGGGGAGUAACAGUGCAGAGAUCUACCUGUCUUGUUGCCACAUGUUUCUAAACUUUCCAAUAAAUCACCUUCUACUGACAA
Molecule: long non-coding RNA, 812 nt
Filed under: Homo sapiens (human)
Lineage: Eukaryota; Metazoa; Chordata; Mammalia; Primates; Hominidae
Description: HSALNT0398856
Source: RNAcentral